AGUCAAUUGAAAAAAAAAAUCCUGUGAAAGUGAGUUUGUUGAAUAUUGAAAUGGGCUCAAAGACCUCAGAAGAGUGAUACACCCAGUAGAGACUGAACACAGGAGAAGCAAUUUUUCCAGUUCAUAUCUGACUCUACUUGACCCUGUGGACCAUAUUCUCCAUGGUGUUUUCUUGGCAAAGUAUUUAGAAACCUACAUCCACAACAGAGGAGAAAUAUCUUUAAUGCUUAUGUCCCUAGCAUCUUCCGUUAAAUGAAAUGAUGGAUCUCUUUCUGGUCAAAGUAAAUAUAUAUGAGGAAAAUGAAGCAGUACAAUGAGGAA
This 321-nucleotide long non-coding RNA is filed under the name Monodelphis domestica (gray short-tailed opossum). RNAcentral describes it as "lncRNA (ENSMODG00000034512.2)". Lineage: Eukaryota; Metazoa; Chordata; Mammalia; Didelphimorphia; Didelphidae. The record is from RNAcentral.